This 486-nucleotide ribosomal RNA is filed under the name uncultured bacterium. RNAcentral's name for it is "partial 16S ribosomal RNA". It matches the Rfam family "Bacterial small subunit ribosomal RNA", at positions 30 to 507 of the family's 1533-position model. The record is from RNAcentral.
AUUGAACGCUGGCGGCAUGCCUUACACAUGCAAGUCGAACGGCAGCACGGGUGCUUGCACCUGGUGGCGAGUGGCGAACGGGUGAGUAAUCCAUCGGAACAUGUCCUGUAGUGGGGGAUAGCCCGGCGAAAGCCGGAUUAAUACCGCAUACGAUCUACGGAUGAAAGCGGGGGCCCUUCGGGCCUCGCGCUAUAGGGUUGGCCGAUGGCUGAUUAGCUAGUUGGUGGGGUAAAGGCCUACCAAGGCGACGAUCAGUAGCUGGUCUGAGAGGACGACCAGCCACACUGGGACUGAGACACGGCCCAGACUCCUACGGGAGGCAGCAGUGGGGAAUUUUGGACAAUGGGCGAAAGCCUGAUCCAGCAAUGCCGCGUGUGUGAAGAAGGCCUUCGGGUUGUAAAGCACUUUUGUCCGGAAAGAAAUCCUUGGCCCUAAUACGGUCGGGGGAUGACGGUACCGGAAGAAUAAGCACCGGCUAACUACGUG